UACGUAGGGUGCAAGCGUUGUCCGGAAUUACUGGGCGUAAAGAGCUCGUAGGCGGUCUGUCGCGUCGGCUGUGAAAACCCGAGGCUCAACCUCGGGCCUGCAGUCGAUACGGGCAAACUAGAGUACUGCAGGGGAGACUGGAAUUCCUGGUGUAGCGGUGAAAUGCGCAGAUAUCAGGAGGAACACCGGUGGCGAAGGCGGGUCUCUGGGCAGUAACUGACGCUGAGGAGCGAAAGCGUGGGGAGCGAACAGG
This 253-nucleotide ribosomal RNA is filed under the name uncultured bacterium. Its description in RNAcentral is "partial 16S ribosomal RNA". It matches the Rfam family "Bacterial small subunit ribosomal RNA", at positions 524 to 776 of the family's 1533-position model. The record is from RNAcentral.